UACGAAGGGAGCUAGCGUUGUUCGGAUUUACUGGGCGUAAAGGGCGCGCAGGCGGCGACCCAAGUCAGGCGUGAAAUCCCCGGGCUUAACCUGGGAACUGCGUUUGAAACUACAAGGCUAGAGUGUGGCAGAGGGGGGUGGAAUUCCACGUGUAGCAGUGAAAUGCGUAGAGAUGUGGAGGAACACCGAUGGCGAAGGCAGCCCCCUGGGUUAACACUGACGCUCAGGCACGAAAGCGUGGGGAGCAAACAGG
This 253-nucleotide ribosomal RNA is filed under the name uncultured bacterium. RNAcentral's name for it is "partial 16S ribosomal RNA". It matches the Rfam family "Bacterial small subunit ribosomal RNA", at positions 524 to 776 of the family's 1533-position model. The record is from RNAcentral.